Molecule: ribosomal RNA, 433 nt
Filed under: uncultured bacterium
Lineage: Bacteria
Description: partial 16S ribosomal RNA
Rfam family: Bacterial small subunit ribosomal RNA
Source: RNAcentral
AACGAACGCUGGCGGCAUGCCUAACACAUGCAAGUCGAACGAGACCUUCGGGUCUAGUGGCGCACGGGUGCGUAACGCGUGGGAACCUGCCCUUAGGUUCGGAAUAACUCCCCGAAAGGGGUGCUAAUACCGGAUAAUGUCUUCGGACCAAAGAUUUAUCGCCAUUGGAUGGGCCCGCGUUGGAUUAGCUAGUUGGUAGGGUAAAAGCCUACCACGGCGACAAUCCAUAGCUGGUCUGAGAGGAUGAUCAGCCACACUGGGACUGAGACGCGGCCCAGACUCCUACGGGAGGCAGCAGUGGGGAAUAUUGGACAAUGGGCGAAAGCCUGAUGCAGCAAUGCCGCGUGAGUGAUGAAGGCCUUAGGGUUGUAAAGCUCUUUUACCCGGGAUGAUAAUGACGGUACCGGGAGAAUAAGCUCCGGCUAACUCCGUG